Molecule: non-coding RNA, 2555 nt
Organism: Lolium perenne
Lineage: Eukaryota; Viridiplantae; Streptophyta; Magnoliopsida; Poales; Poaceae
Source: RefSeq, a predicted model, not a curated record
UUCGUUCGGGUUUGGUUAUCCCUCCUCUCUGUGUCUUUUGCUCUCUGUCUCUCUCUGCUCUCACUCUCGUUUCCCCUCUCUAUCUUGUGGACGAGGGUCCAGGUUGAGGGAACGGAGGAGGACGGGGUUUGAGCCAAGGAGGGUGUCGGUUGCCUGCUCAGGGGAAGCGCAGCGGCGGCGCUGCUGCUCACUCCUCCUCACGUCCUUGUCUGCACUGGUGCCUCUGCUGCGCCUCCUUGCUUCCUCUCCAGAUAGCCCAUUGAUGGGGAACUAAAAGGAGUUCCUUAUUGACGACUUCGCUCAAAAGCAAGAAGGCUGACGCUGACCAUGAUCCCAGUUCACAGGCGCCCACGAGCGUGGAACUCGGUGUGUGCGCUACAAAAAAAAGGAUUUGGUGCCUCGAGUUUCAACUUUCGGCUACAAAAAAUCCUGGUGUAGCUUUACUGCACUUCAAAAAAGGAGUAUCAUCACCAGGACAUUCGUGGGCCGGGCAUGAGUGAAACCAAGCAUAUAUGAUGCCAUUGGCCAGCAUGCCGUUGAUGUACCUUAUGUGGGUGGGAAAAGGGGAUAUAAAUAUCUAUCCAGAUAUGGUGCCAUUGCACUAUCAUUGUCACCCCACGAGGUUGGUGUUGGCAUGUGCAUGGAGGGAAUAAUAGAGCAUAAUCCAGUUGUUUAUUAUCUAAAUGGAUCCUUUGGCAUGUAACACAAGCUGCUUUUGAUUUGCUGUGAUUUCUGGCAUACAAGGUGUGCAUUGUUGUAAACAGUGGUGGUGUUUGUAAGUGUAUGACACAUGGGAGCAAACUACAGAAGGAAGGUCGUGGCGCAGCUGAAGCUCAAGUCAGUCCUCACUCCUAUGGGCAUUCAAUUGAGUAGCUCCAAAAUUAAUAAGCUACAGAGCUACAUUUUUAAGGAGUGGAAAAGAAGUAUAUUGAGGAUAAUAUAUCUGUGAUAAUAUAUGUUAUCAAGGUUUGGUUCUCUGUAUAUAGUCCUUCACUCCAUGCAAGAGUCGGUGAUACACAACAUUUCUGAAGUGAUGGCGUCAAGUACUGGCUGAUGAUAGUCCUGAAGCGUGUGGCCAGGACGUUGGCGGUGCCCGACAUGGUGGUGUUCGCCGAGGUGCUCGGGCACGCAGGCUGAGCAUCCGUCUGCUGCUGUUCACGAGACGGCUCUUCCGAUGCCUCACAUGGCACCGACCCAGGCAGGUUUUGUCCCCACAUUGUUCAUUUCAAUCUACAUAUUCUGAUCCUGAUGAGUUCGAGAGCAUAGCUCCCUUGCUCAUACUGAUACAAUGAUUCAUGUGUCUUGGAAUAGAGAGAUUAUGCAACUUGACGAGCCAAUUGAGGUUAAAAUUUAUGAGUGGAAUACUGGUGGACUUCUUACAAUAAUUGGGGCAAUAAAGAAAUUGAUUUCUUUAAUUUUACUGUCUCUUGUUAUUAAUAGUUGUACAAUUGCAGUGUUUCAAAUCAGGUCUAAUGUUUCCUUCACCUACAUUUCAGGAGGCUGAGAUCAUUCCUUCUGAAAUUUAAGCUCAUUGACAGGACAAAUAUAUUUACAGACUUGAAAAACAAUCAUAGCAGACCUUGAGAAUGCUCCUCAUUUAUUUCUCUCAGACAAGGAGAAGCUGUUUUCAGAAGCUGAAGAAAUCGGGAGCAGCUUCCAGUUGUCUCUUGGAACACUAAAUUAGAUUAUGACCUCCAAGAGUCCGAGGGGAAACUAUUCAACUUGAUACGGAAGCUACACUAUAUGUAAAUUGGAAAUGGUUCAAAUUUCUGAUGCAUGCCAAGCCUGGUGAGGAAAAUGAUCAAACAAAGUUGUAGCUAUUCUACAUUUCAUGAACUGGAUGUUGCGAAGAGAAUUUGGUUCAUGUCGAAGAGCAGAAUGUAUGAUUUGCUUGCUGUUCGUGGGAAAAGAGUACAGCGUUGUUGUCGCCCCAAGGUGUGAAUCAUUAGAUGCGUUGUACAACCACCUUCAAAUGCAGAUCGCUAAACCAAUUAUCUGGGCCAAUGCUACCCCGCGACAAGGCAAGAUCGAUCCCACAACAGGUCAAAACAAUGAGAGUCUCCCCAUUCCUCAAGCUCCAAACUAGGUUCAGGGCACUGGUGAAACUUCAACUCCGCCACCGUCUAUAAAUCCUACACCACGAAGUGUACCAUCAUUAGGUUCUACAAUCGAUGGGGUAGUCUCCAACUCAUCUGGAAGAUCGAUGAUGGCAAAAACCCUAAGUCAAAGAAAGACCUGAACUUCUCAGAAGACGAUUAGAUUCUCAUGUGCAUGCUCACACCAAGACAGUUCAUUUGUCAGUGAUAUUAUAUCUGCUAUCGUCCGCACUAUUUCCAGACUGCUCUAUCUGCCCAAUAUGUAGCACAAAGACUCCUUUAUGCACAUUCGUUCUGGUUGUUAAAAACCCAUCGUCUUGGGCUUAACUAUUUUCAUGUCUAGGACUAGGACAACGUUCAGACAAACUGUUUAAGUCCUGUGUACUGCCUAUCACUUAUGUUGUAUUCUAUCUGCAUGCUUGCUUCUUCUGUAUUAUGUGCUUCUUAAUAUCCGGACUC